RNAcentral lists this transfer RNA (74 nucleotides) under Candidatus Kaiserbacteria bacterium RIFCSPHIGHO2_02_FULL_56_30. RNAcentral's name for it is "tRNA-Thr". It matches the Rfam family "tRNA". Rfam says of the family: Transfer RNA (tRNA) molecules are approximately 80 nucleotides in length. Lineage: Bacteria; Candidatus Kaiseribacteriota. RNAcentral also lists the same sequence under 2 other names. The record is from RNAcentral.
GCCGCCCUAGCUCAGCUGGUUAGAGCAGCUGUUUUGUAAACAGCAGGUCCUCGGUUCGAAUCCGAGGGGCGGCU